Molecule: ribosomal RNA, 470 nt
Filed under: uncultured bacterium
Lineage: Bacteria
Description: bacterial SSU rRNA
Rfam family: Bacterial small subunit ribosomal RNA
Source: RNAcentral
ACUCCUACGGGAGCAGCAGUGGGGAAUAUUGCACAAUGGGCGCAAGCCUGAUGCAGCCAUGCCGCGUGUAUGAAGAAGGCCUUCGGGUUGUAAAGUACUUUCAGCAGUGAGGAAGGCGGGUACGUUAAUAGCGUGCUUGUUUGACGUUAGCUGCAGAAGAAGCACCGGCUAACUCCGUGCCAGCAGCCGCGGUAAUACGGAGGGUGCGAGCGUUAAUCGGAAUUACUGGGCGUAAAGCGCAUGCAGGUGGUUUGUUAAGUCAGAUGUGAAAGCCCGGGGCUCAACCUCGGAAUUGCAUUUGAAACUGGCAGACUAGAGUACUGUAGAGGGGGGUAGAAUUUCAGGUGUAGCGGUGAAAUGCGUAGAGAUCUGAAGGAAUACCGGUGGCGAAGGCGGCCCCCUGGACAGAUACUGACACUCAGAUGCGAAAGCGUGGGGAGCAAACAGGAUUAGAUACCCUGGUAGGAUAG